Molecule: ribosomal RNA, 372 nt
Filed under: uncultured organism
Description: bacterial SSU rRNA
Rfam family: Bacterial small subunit ribosomal RNA
Source: RNAcentral
CAGAGGUCUCAAGCGUUGUUCGGAUUCAUUGGGCGUAAAGGGUGCGUAGGUGGCGCGCUAAGUCGGGUGUGAAAUUUCGGAGCUUAACUCCGAAACUGCAUUUGAUACUGGCGUGCUUGAGGACUGGAGAGGAGACUGGAAUUUACGGUGUAGCAGUGAAAUGCGUAGAUAUCGUAAGGAAGACCAGUGGCGAAGGCGGGUCUCUGGACAGUUCCUGACACUGAGGCACGAAGGCCAGGGGAGCAAACGGGAUUAGAUACCCCGGUAGUCCUGGCAGUAAACGGUGCACGUUUGGUGUGGGAGGAUUCGACCCCUUCUGCGCCGGAGCUAACGCGUUAAACGUGCCGCCUGGGGAGUACGGUCGCAAGAUUA